CACACACCGCCCGUCAAGCCACGAAAGUUGGUUUCUCCCGAAGUCGCCAAGCUAACCGCAAGGAGGCAGGCGCCGAAGGAGCGGUCGAUGAUUGGGACU
RNAcentral lists this ribosomal RNA (99 nucleotides) under uncultured bacterium. RNAcentral describes it as "partial 16S ribosomal RNA". It matches the Rfam family "Bacterial small subunit ribosomal RNA", at positions 1384 to 1482 of the family's 1533-position model. The record is from RNAcentral.